GUCCAUGGCCAUACCACCCUGAAUGUACUCAAUCUUGCCUGAUCUUGGAAGCUAAGCAGGGUUGGGCCUAGCUAGUACUUGGAUGGGAGAAAUAGCCAGUUUGGGAGCUGGGAAUG
RNAcentral lists this ribosomal RNA (116 nucleotides) under Castor canadensis (American beaver). Lineage: Eukaryota; Metazoa; Chordata; Mammalia; Rodentia; Castoridae. The record is from RNAcentral.